GACGAACGCUGGCGGCGUGCCUAACGCAUGCAAGUCGCACGCGCGCUGCUUCGGCAGCGUGAGUGGCGCACGGCUGAGGAUCACGUGGGAACAUGCCUCUUGGUGGGGGACAACAGCGCGAAAGCGGUGCUAAUCCCGCAUACGCUCGCUAGCGAGGAAAGCGUGUAAACGCGCCGAGAGAGUGGCCCGCGGCCCAUCAG
This 200-nucleotide ribosomal RNA is filed under the name uncultured bacterium. RNAcentral's name for it is "partial 16S ribosomal RNA". It matches the Rfam family "Bacterial small subunit ribosomal RNA", at positions 28 to 244 of the family's 1533-position model. The record is from RNAcentral.